This 253-nucleotide ribosomal RNA is filed under the name uncultured bacterium. RNAcentral's name for it is "partial 16S ribosomal RNA". It matches the Rfam family "Bacterial small subunit ribosomal RNA", at positions 524 to 776 of the family's 1533-position model. The record is from RNAcentral.
GACGGAGGGGGCUAGCGUUGUUCGGAAUUACUGGGCGUAAAGCGCACGUAGGCGGCUUUGCAAGUUAGAGGUGAAAGCCCGGGGCUCAACUCCGGAAUUGCCUUUAAAACUGCAUCGCUAGAAUUGUGGAGAGGUAAGUGGAAUUCCGAGUGUAGAGGUGAAAUUCGUAGAUAUUCGGAAGAACACCAGUGGCGAAGGCGACUCGCUGGACAAGUAUUGACGCUGAGGUGCGAAAGCGUGGGGAGCAAACAGG